AGCUUUUCAAAUCCGUGCUGAGAUUUCGUCAAACACUAACCCAUUAGUGAUGAUCAGACUUCCAAGAUAAGUGAAGUU
Schistosoma mattheei is the source of this 78-nucleotide non-coding RNA. The record is from Rfam. Lineage: Eukaryota; Metazoa; Platyhelminthes; Trematoda; Strigeidida; Schistosomatidae.